Small nucleolar RNA from Mustela putorius furo (domestic ferret), 153 nucleotides. NCBI's taxonomy places the organism in Eukaryota, Metazoa, Chordata, Mammalia, Carnivora, Mustelidae. The record is from Ensembl.
UCUGCACAGUGUUGGAGCUUGAUGCUGGGGCCACUGGCUGGCCAUUGAGCUCACAAGUGUUGGCAGUGUGCACUUGAGGGCUAAGCCCUUUGCUAACACCACAAGGGCCUCUGGCCCAGCGAGUGCAGUGUGAUAGUAAUUCUUGCUACAAGA